CCUAACCCUAACCCUAACCCUAACCCUAACCCUAACCCUAACCCUAACCCUAACCCUAACCCUAACCCUAACCCUAACCCUAACCCUAACCCUAACCCUAACCCAAAUUCCAAGAGGGGUAGUCACCCCCAUAAACCCUAGGCAACUUCCAAGGGGGGCAUACACCCCCACAAACCCUAGGCAUUCCCCGAUUAACUUUUGAUAUUCUGAGAGGGGUAGGAUUCAACAAGGGCAAGUGUGGGACCUGGUUAAUGAAGGCGUGGGCCAGAUCAAAGUGGCAGGGUGAUGUGAAACAGAAUCUCAAGUGGGGAGAUCAGAAAUCACAAGAGGGCUUUUUAGCCCACUGCCCGCAUAAUUUCAACCUAACCUAUCAGUGACACGCUCUUCAUUCUCCCGGCCCCAGAAAGGCCAAUAAGAAAACCCAGAUAUUUUAUUUCACCUAUCGGGCGUUAAAAAAUUCAUAGUUAAAAGAAUGGAGAGGUUCACCAAUUAGCAGCUAAUGUACCUUUAAGGGCUGAGGUGAGCCGGUCUCCUAGCAACAGCCAGGUUUGCAGUAGGUGGACAAUUAGGUUUUAGUAUCACAUUAGUUAAAAGAGGCCCUGCGGGGGGAAGAAGGUGAGGGAUGUUUUAACUGGAUAGCAGUACUGUCUGGGUUUAGAGACUCCACAGAAGACCCGAGUGACGGACGAGAGUCGAGUUGGACCUUCCGGUCGGGAAUCACGCUUUUUUGAAGGCAAUUGGUUGGAGUCGAAAUCGCAGACGCAAGAUAAGCAAGACUCCACAGAAGACCCGAGUGACGGACGAGAGUCGAGUUGGACCUUCCGGUCGGGAAUCACGCUUUUUUGAAGGCAAUUGGUUGGAGUCGAAAUCGCAGACGCAAGAUAAGCAGUAGGAACAUUAUUCUUUUAUUUAUUGUCUUACUUACAUUAUUGUCUUAAUGAUGUGGAAAGGCAAAGAUAGGAGAGGUUGUGUGGAUCGAUACCUGCCACGUGGGCGAGUGGGUAACUCUGGUUAGUGUCCCUGGGGAUUCCUUCUUAACCACGGUCAGGUUAAAAAUAGUCCAGAACUUUCAUUAUAUGAAAAUUCUGGAAAAAUAGUCCCAACUACCUAAGGGAAUUAAGAAGUAGGCCUACAGAUUCUCCGCAUGGCCUGAGUGAGGCCCAAGGAGCUAGGCCGCCCUGGAAUUAAACCCUUAGAAGUAGUAUGACCUGUACAAUUUUGUGCCUUUCGUUGUCUGGUCUAGGGGGUAGUACAUACGCCAAGCGUGAUUGGCUUGGUUUAAGCCAUUUCAGGGGAGGUGUCGCCUUUCAUUGUCUGGUCCAGGGGUAAUACACACGGCAAGCUUGAUCAACUUGACGGAGCCGGCUCGAGGAGGGUGUCUAAUGUAAAGGCUCGAAACACCCGAAGAUCCGAGAGUGCAUUACUGAUGAUGUGUCCUGGCACAUGACAAUGAGAGGUUUCGAUUUUCCUAUACAAGCAGCUGGCUUAGGAGCUCAGACUUUAAAUUCUGCAGACUAACCUUUGCCAGCUAAACAUAUAGAUCCACCAGCCCUACACUUAAACCUAAUCCUAAAGUCCAAAAGGGGCAUACACCCCCAUAAAUAGGCAAAUUCCAAGAGGGGUAGUCACCCCCAUAAACCCUAGGCAACUUCCAAGGGGGGCAUACACCCCCACAAACCCUAGGCAUUCCCCGAUUAACUUUUGAUAUUCUGAGAGGGGUAGGAUUCAACAAGGGCAAGUGUGGGACCUGGUUAAUGAAGGCGUGGGCCAGAUCAAAGUGGCAGGGUGAUGUGAAACAGAAUCUCAAGUGAGGAGAUCAGAAAUCACAAGAGGGCUUUUUAGCCCACUGCCCGCAUAAUUUCAACCUAACCUAUCAGUGACACGCUCUUCAUUCUCCCGGCCCCAGAAAGGCCAAUAAGAAAACCCAGAUAUUUUAUUUCACCUAUUAGGUGUUCAAAAAUUCAUAGUUAAAAGAAUGGAGAGGUUCACCAAUCAGCAGCUAAUGUACCUUUAAGGGCUGAGGUGAGCCGGUCUCCUAGCAACAGCCAGGUUUGCAGCAGUUGGACAAUUAGGUUUUAGUAUCACAUUAGUUAAAAGAGGCCCUGCGGGGGGGAAGAAGGUGAGGGACGUUUUAACUGGAUAGCAGUACUGUCUGGGUUUAGAGACUCCACAGAAGACCCGAGUGACGGACGAGAGUCGAGUUGGACCUUCCGGUCGGGAAUCACGCUUUUUUGAAGGCAAUUGGUUGGAGUCGAAAUCGCAGACGCAAGAUAAGCAAGACUCCACAGAAGACCCGAGUGACGGACGAGAGUCGAGUUGGACCUUCCGGUCGGGAAUCACGCUUUUUUGAAGGCAAUUGGUUGGAGUCGAAAUCGCAGACGCAAGAUAAGCAGUAGGAACAUUAUUCUUUUAUUUAUUGUCUUACUUACAUUAUUGUCUUAAUGAUGUGGAAAGGCAAGGAUAGGAGAGGUUGUGUGGAUCGAUACCUGCCACGUGGGCGAGUGGGUAACUCUGGUUAGUGUCCCUGGGGAUUUCUUCUUAACCACGGUCAGGUUAAAAAUAGUCCAGAACUUUCAUUAUGUGAAAAUUCUGGAAAAAUAGUCCCAACUACUAAAGGGAAUUAAGAAGUAGGCCUACAGAUUCUCCGCAUGGCCUGAAUGAGGCCCAAGGAGCUAGGCCGCCCUGGAAUUAAACCCUUAGAAGUAGUAUGACCUGUACAAUUUUGUGCCUUUCGUUGUCUGGUCUAGGGGGUAGUACAUACGCCAAGCGUGAUUGGCUUGGUUUAAGCCAUUUCAGGGGAGGUGUCGCCUUUCAUUGUCUGGUCCAGGGGUAAUACACACGGCAAGCUUGAUCAACUUGACGGAGCCGGCUCGAGGAGGGUGUCUAAUGUAAAGGCUCGAAACACCCGAAGAUCCGAGAGUGCAUUACUGAUGAUGUGUCCUGGCACAUGAUAAUGAGAGGUUUCGAUUUUCCUAUACAAGCAGCUGGCUUAGGAGCUCAGACUUUAAAUUCUGCAGACUAACCUUUGCCAGCUAAACAUAUAGAUCCACCAGCCCUACACUUAAACCUAAUCCUAAAGUCCAAAAGGGGCAUACACCCCCAUAAAUAGGCAAAUUCCAAGAGGGGUAGUCACCCCCAUAAACCCUAGGCAACUUCCAAGGGGGGCAUACACCCCCACAAACCCUAGGCAUUCCCCGAUUAACUUUUGAUAUUCUGAGAGGGGUAGGAUUCAACAAGGGCAAGUGUGGGACCUGGUUAAUGAAGGCGUGGGCCAGAUCAAAGUGGCAGGGUGAUGUGAAACAGAAUCUCAAGUGGGGAGAUCAGAAAUCACAAGAGGGCUUUUUAGCCCACUGCCCGCAUAAUUUCAACCUAACCUAUCAGUGACACGCUCUUCAUUCUCCCGGCCCCAGAAAGGCCAAUAAGAAAACCCAGAUAUUUUAUUUCACCUAUCGGGCGUUAAAAAAUUCAUAGUUAAAAGAAUGGAGAGGUUCACCAAUUAGCAGCUAAUGUACCUUUAAGGGCUGAGGUGAGCCGGUCUCCUAGCAACAGCCAGGUUUGCAGUAGGUGGACAAUUAGGUUUUAGUAUCACAUUAGUUAAAAGAGGCCCUGCGGGGGGAAGAAGGUGAGGGAUGUUUUAACUGGAUAGCAGUACUGUCUGGGUUUAGAGACUCCACAGAAGACCCGAGUGACGGACGAGAGUCGAGUUGGACCUUCCGGUCGGGAAUCACGCUUUUUUGAAGGCAAUUGGUUGGAGUCGAAAUCGCAGACGCAAGAUAAGCAGUAGGAACAUUAUUCUUUUAUUUAUUGUCUUACUUACAUUAUUGUCUUAAUGAUGUGGAAAGGCAAGGAUAGGAGAGGUUGUGUGGAUCGAUACCUGCCACG
Long non-coding RNA from Hypanus sabinus (Atlantic stingray), 3882 nucleotides. RefSeq lists it as uncharacterized. NCBI's taxonomy places the organism in Eukaryota, Metazoa, Chordata, Chondrichthyes, Myliobatiformes, Dasyatidae. The record is from RefSeq and is a predicted model, not a curated record. The transcript is spliced from 3 exons.